This 253-nucleotide ribosomal RNA is filed under the name uncultured bacterium. RNAcentral describes it as "partial 16S ribosomal RNA". It matches the Rfam family "Bacterial small subunit ribosomal RNA", at positions 524 to 776 of the family's 1533-position model. The record is from RNAcentral.
UACGUAGGGGGCUAGCGUUGUCCGGAUUUAUUGGGCGUAAAGAGCGUGUAGGCGGCCAUGUAGGUCCGGUGUGAAAACUCGAGGCUUAACCUCGAGAUGUCAUCGGAAACCAUUUGGCUAGAGUCCGGAAGAGGAGAGUGGAAUUCCUGGUGUAGCGGUGGAAUGCGCAGAUAUCAGGAAGAACACCAAUGGCGAAAGCAGCUCUCUGGGACGGUACUGACGCUGAGACGCGAAAGCGUGGGGAGCGAACAGG